This 939-nucleotide ribosomal RNA is filed under the name uncultured archaeon 19c-51. RNAcentral describes it as "bacterial SSU rRNA". It matches the Rfam family "Archaeal small subunit ribosomal RNA", at positions 4 to 921 of the family's 1478-position model. The record is from RNAcentral.
CCGGUUGAUCCUGCCGGACCUUACUGCUAUCGGGGUGGGACUAAGACAUGCGAGUCGAGCGUCUCUAGCUAUGUUGAGACGCGGCAGACGGCUCAGUAACACGUGGCUAACCUACCCUCAGGACGAGGACAAACCCGGGAAACUGGGGCUAAUACUCGAUAGGUGAGGAUGUCUGGAAUGAUUUCUCACUCAAAGGGCCUUGGAAACAUGCUUCCAUUGUCGCCUGGGGAUGGGGCCGCGUCCGAUCAGGUUGUUGGUGAGGUAACGGCUCACCAAGCCUUUAACCGGUACGGGCCGUGAGAGCGGUAGCCCGGAGAUGGGUACUGAGACAAGGACCCAGGCCCUACGGGGCGCAGCAGUCGCGAAAACUCCGCAAUGCACGAAAGUGUGACGGGGCUACCCCGAGUGCCAUCCGCUGAGGAUGGCUUUUCUCUGGUAUAACUAGCCGGGGGAAUAAGGAGAGGGCAAGACUGGUGUCAGCCGCCGCGGUAAUACCAGCUCUCCGAGUGGUAGGGAUGAUUAUUGGGCCUAAAGCGUCCGUAGCCGGCUUAGCAAGUCUCCCGUUAAAUUCAGCGACCUAAUCGUUGAGCCGCGGGAGAUACUACUAGGCUAGGAGGCGGGAGAGGUCGACGGUACUUCUGGGGUAGGGGUGAAAUCCUAUAAUCCCGGGAGGACCACCAGUGGCGAAGGCUGUCGACUAGAACGCGCUCGACGGUGAGGGACGAAAGCUGGGGGAGCGAACCGGAUUAGAUACCCGGGUAGUCCCAGCCGUAAACGAUGCGGGCUAGGUGUUGGGAUGGCUACGUGCCAUUUCAGUGCCGCAGGGAAGCCAUUAAGCCCGCCGCCUGGGGAGUACGGCCGCAAGGCUGAAACUUAAAGGAAUUGGCGGGGGAGCACCACAAGGCGUGAAGCUUGCGGCUUAAUUGGAGUCAACGCCGG